RNAcentral lists this ribosomal RNA (500 nucleotides) under uncultured bacterium. RNAcentral describes it as "partial 16S ribosomal RNA". It matches the Rfam family "Bacterial small subunit ribosomal RNA", at positions 28 to 507 of the family's 1533-position model. The record is from RNAcentral.
GGCGAACGCUGGCGGCGUGCUUAACACAUGCAAGUCGAACGGGCCUGUCUUCUUUUUUGGGGGGUGGGUUGAGUGGCGAACGGGUGAGUAUCACGUGAGUAACCUGCCCUUCGGUCCUGGAUAACCGCUUGAAAGGGCGGCUAAUACGGGGUGGUCCGGUUGGUCCGCAUGGGCUGGUCGGGAUAGAUUCACUGUUUUUGGUGUUUCGGCGGGGGAUGGGCUCGCGGCCUAUCAGCUUGUUGGGGGGGUGAUGGCCUACCAAGGCGGUGACGGGUAGCCGGCCUGAGCGGGUGGGCGGCCACACUGGGACUGAGAUACGGCCCAGACUCCUGCGCGGGGCAGCAGUGGGUGGUAUUGCACGAUGGGCGGAAGCCUGAUGCAGCGACGUCGCGUGAGGGAUGGAGGCCUUCGGGUUGUGAACCUCUGUUUCCGGUGGUGAAGGCCCUGUCCGUGUGGUGGGGUUGACGGUAGCCGGGGAUGAAGCGCCGGCUAACUACGUG